CCUACGGGAGGUAGCAGUAAGGAAUAUUGGUCAAUGGGGGCAACCCUGAACCAGCCAUGCCGCGUGCAGGAAGACGGCCCUACGGGUUGUAAACUGCUUUUAUACGGGAAUAAACCUCUCUUCGUGAAGAGAGCUGAAUGUACUGUAAGAAUAAGGAUCGGCUAACUCCGUGCCAGCAGCCGCGGUAAUACGGAGGAUCCAAGCGUUAUCCGGAUUUAUUGGGUUUAAAGGGUGCGUAGGCGGCCUAUUAAGUCAGGGGUGAAAGACGGUGGCUCAACCAUCGCAGUGCCCUUGAUACUGAUGGGCUUGAUUACACUUGAGGUAGGCGGAAUGUGACAAGUAGCGGUGAAAUGCAUAGAUAUGUCACAGAACACCAAUUGCGAAGGCAGCUUACUAAGGUGUUAAUGACGCUGAGGCACGAAAGCGUGGGGAUCAAACAGGAUUAGAUACCCUGGUAGUCCACGCCCUAAACGAUGAAUACUCGAUGUUAGCGAUAUACAGUUAGCGUCAAAGCGAAAGCGUCAAGUAUUCCACCUGGGGAGUACGCCCGCAAGGGUGAAACUCAAAGUAGUAGUAGCGNGAGAGAGACGACGACGACGACGACGGAGGAGGAGG
Molecule: ribosomal RNA, 615 nt
Filed under: uncultured bacterium
Lineage: Bacteria
Description: bacterial SSU rRNA
Rfam family: Bacterial small subunit ribosomal RNA
Source: RNAcentral